CGAGCUCGUACUAGUUACAGGACCCCCAUCGCUAGCGACACCAGACUUUUUUUUACCCCGCCAUCCGCCAUUGUCUUGUCGUGCGUCGGGUGUGUUUCAGGGGACGAAAAUGCUUUUAUACAUGGAAAUGUACUCAUUUAUUCAAGUUUACCUAUCUGUGAAGUCUCCUCUUAUGUUGAUUAUGGUCAAGAAGAGCUUGGAAGAUCCACGACGCGACAGUCUAGCGAGCACCUGAACACAGUUGGAUUUCAAGCAAGAAGUAUGCUACUAUGCUCUGGCACAUUCAAGACUCAGUUUGUGACAGUGUUCAGCGUCAAGAUGCCUUCAUAACAGGAGCAAGUGUACCCCAAGACCCUUUUUUGCAUAAUAAAAUGUAUAAAGGCACA
Molecule: long non-coding RNA, 386 nt
Filed under: Ixodes scapularis (black-legged tick)
Lineage: Eukaryota; Metazoa; Arthropoda; Arachnida; Ixodida; Ixodidae
Description: uncharacterized LOC120847879
Source: RNAcentral